GAAUAACUAAAUAUAUAAGAAGUACCCGACAUGAACGUUUUAACUAAUUCAUAGGAAACUGUAAACGUUGUUGUAUGUUGAUGGGUGAUAAGAUCGAUCUAAGCACCUAACUGUUGGUUUUCUGUUGCUAACGAUGUUCUUCAUGAAGCUGUUAUUCGAUCGAUCGAUCUAUAUAUAUAUACAUAACAUAAUGUUUAACUUUAAUAGAACGGAUGAAGUGUCGUUAUUGAUGUACGUUCCUUUUCCCAAUUAUAAGCUUGUUACUUUUCCAAAUAUAAGCUUGUUGCUUACGUGGGACCGACCGGAAAGCUUAUCAACCGUGGAUGCUGCGGUUGAUAUAUUAAUGAUCGAAAAAAUACGUUUCAUCUUUUCAAUCUGAUAUUUAUUUCUUUCAAUCUGGAAAAACUUCUGAUGUGACGAACCGCACGGUGUUCAAUGCGGUGUCGCAUUACGUUCGUCGGUCCGGAUGUCAUUAUGUGAUGUCUGAAACGACAUCGGAGGAUUGCGGUCCACCACGAUCGAGGAAUAUCCCAGGUUGGAAGAUUCCAAUCGAGGACGACGAUGACAGAAAUCGUCCGGUUAAGCGAUUCCAGUCAUUGAUCGUACGACGCACAAGUUUGUGUCGUCAAUCUUGGAUGCCCAACACCCAUUGUAAUCAUUGGGAAUCUAAAGAAAGAGGAGAGAACAUUUUCAGAAGACGGGUGGGUUUUGAUUUUCAGUUUUUGUUUUGAGGUCCGGAUCUCGUCGGGUGUAUCAGCUAAGUUGCCUUUCGUCGGAGGUACCGCACCAGAUUGUCGAAGUAGCUACUGCAGUACCGGCUUGCAUCGAGUUUUAGGUGCGGCAACUAAUUUCUGAUGUGUCGAGAUUUAGAUUUAUUUGAUCGAUGUUUAAUAAAAUACAACGAAAGAGUUAGAUUUAUUUACAUUUUAAACUAGGACGGACUGAAUUGGAAAGAUCUGAGUGCGUGUAUUAUGCAUUAAUAUUCUCAGUGGUUUGGAUAUUACAUACGAAUUAAGAAGCAGAGUUCUUUUGAUAUAUACCGUUGAUCUUUAAUCCAUCGGCCAUUGUAUCGAACUGAAUAUCUGAGUAGUUUACUGUUCACACUUCCUUAAUCGACGGGAAAUGGAAAGAUCGAUAGUCGAUACACCGCAUGCAUGCGAUUUCAGACGACAAGUGAAAGAUUCGUAGUCAUUCGUGCAGAGUUGAGUCUCCUGAAAAUCAUCCAUAUUGCAUGCGUGACAUCAGACUCCUUUCUAUAAUUAAUUAUUAAUUAGUGAUUACUAAUUAAUAAUUAUCUAUUUAUAAAUAAACUGAAAUUCGUGUCAACAAAAAUAGUACUUUCUUAUCCUCAAAUUAAUUAUUUAUCGAUACAAAAUACAUAGGUUUUUUUUUGCCUUUUUUUAUAUAAUUGAACUCACUUUAUUUGGAAUUUAUAGGAAAAAAACAAACAAACCUAAGAUUUUUAUUACAAUUAUUAGAUAAAUGGAAAAUUGAUUGAUGGAUAGAUUCAUAGAUUAUUUAUAAAUUGCAUGGACAUUAUUUUUUAAGUUCUUAUUUCUAAAACAUAUAUAUUAUAUUUUCUGUGUAGGUUUAAAGAGAUUGAUUGAAUAGAAAGGUAGAUGGUCAGGAAAUUCCAUUGGUUCCAGACGUGUCGUCCCAUUGGUUCCAAUUUUGAGGAUCGUUUUCUU
RNAcentral lists this long non-coding RNA (1688 nucleotides) under Zostera marina. RNAcentral describes it as "long non-coding RNA (ZMAR_LNC001505)". The record is from RNAcentral. Lineage: Eukaryota; Viridiplantae; Streptophyta; Magnoliopsida; Alismatales; Zosteraceae.